CAUUAAUGUGGGUUUGGACGGUU
Molecule: microRNA, 23 nt
Filed under: Medicago truncatula (barrel medic)
Lineage: Eukaryota; Viridiplantae; Streptophyta; Magnoliopsida; Fabales; Fabaceae
Description: mtr-miR5207
Source: miRBase by way of RNAcentral